Molecule: RNA transcript, 782 nt
Organism: Belonocnema kinseyi
Lineage: Eukaryota; Metazoa; Arthropoda; Insecta; Hymenoptera; Cynipidae
Exons: 3
Source: RefSeq, a predicted model, not a curated record
UUCAGUUCAUGCAUUUGCCAUAAAAUUAAACCUCAAAAUUUCUUGUCAAAAUGUAGUUCUAAAUUUCUACUUCUAAAUGAGUUUGAAUUGGAAAAGUUCGAACCAUCUGGGACUUCAGCAUCAUAUAUACAUCUUAUAAUUACAUUAUGUUGCCAUACGGCUCAUGGAACACGGUAAUUACGAGUAGAUCAACAGAAUGCCGAGAUCCGGGCAUAUUGAUAUGUUUACGAGAAUCGAUUUGCCUUCUCCACAUGUUCAGGUGUUCCUGGGACUUUUCUUUUGCGGGACUCUAAUUCUAAUGUUUAAUCCACGUCAACAAUUUCCAGAAAAUAUUGAUACACAAAUAUCACUUGUGGAGAUACAACAGUAUCAAGUGCACCUACCCAUCGAAGCUAUAGCGAUAUCAUCGGAACUGAGAGGACCCUCGCGACAAAAUUCGUUGAGCACUCAACAGGAAAAAGAACUUCUAAACUUUUAUGUCAGCAAUGCUUCGAAUCUGACCUCGUCGGAUUCCAUUUGUCAGAACACUCAGGAAACAGAUAAAUUUCAAAGAAAAGGCAUCAAAGAAAACACAUAAAAAAAAGGAUAUGAAAGGAGGUUCCAGUGAGAAUGCAAAAGGUGCAAUGUGAUCUGUUGAGAAAUCGCAAAAAAGUGCUUUAAAGGGGAAAACGACAUCAAUUUCAUCCGACAAAAAGGGUUAUUUUCUGACUAGGCGAUGAAGGUGAGACAGCAAAAAUAUCAUGUUUAGAAAUAUAUAACUGAAACUAAUAUUUUUUUUAUAC